GGCUGUAGCUCAGUGGUAGAGCGCUUGCCUAGCAGGUGUCUGGCACUGGGUUCGAGCCUCAGCACCA
This 67-nucleotide transfer RNA is filed under the name Marmota monax (woodchuck). Its description in RNAcentral is "tRNA.Undet". The record is from RNAcentral. Lineage: Eukaryota; Metazoa; Chordata; Mammalia; Rodentia; Sciuridae.